Molecule: ribosomal RNA, 4653 nt
Filed under: Avibacterium paragallinarum
Lineage: Bacteria; Pseudomonadati; Pseudomonadota; Gammaproteobacteria; Pasteurellales; Pasteurellaceae
Description: 23S ribosomal RNA
Rfam family: Bacterial large subunit ribosomal RNA (bases 3258-4653)
Source: RNAcentral
AGUUAAGUGAGAAAGCGUACAGGGCGGAUGCCUUGGCAAUCAGAGGCGAAGAAGGACGUGCUAAUCUGCGAAAAGCGUGGGUGAGUUGAUAAGAAGCGUUUAACCCACGAUGUCCGAAUGGGGAAACCCGAUAGGCGAAGAGCCUAUCAUUGCGAGGUGAAUAAAAUAGCCUCGUAAGGCGAACCGGGAGAACUGAAACAUCUAAGUACCCCGAGGAAAAGAAAUCAACCGAGAUUCUGUGAGUAGCGGCGAGCGAAAGCGGAGGAGCCAGUAAGUAAUGCUUAGAUAUUUAUGACGAUGACACGGCAGAUUUAACCUUUGAUAUUGAAUUUCAAGAGCCAAUUACCGCCGUUAUUGAUCCAAAAGGCACGUUAGAAAUUGACGGUCAGCGGUACAAACUUGAUGACAUUGAAAUUAUUACCGCAGAAAAAAUAGAGCUAAUUAUUAAUGAAUGACAUUAUUUUGAAAUUAUCAAAAGAAAGUUUAAAACGCUUCCGCCGUGAUAUGCGGUUACUAACACUUUCCCCUGAUAAAAAGAAACAAGUUAUUCAGCGUACAGCUUGGCGAAUUAAAGAUAACGCGAAAAAAGCCGUUAAUCAACAGCGAAGCCCUGAUGGUAAACCGUGGGAAAAGCGAAAAGUUGGCAAAGGGAAAAUGCUUAAACGCCGUGCAAAAUUUUUGAAUACAAAAAUACAAGGCAAUAACACGGGCGUAUUAGGCUAUAAAAAUAAAAAAAGUUCGGAGUUAUCCGCAGAACAUCAAUACGGUUUAGAAGUUGAGUUAGCGAAAAAUCAAAAAUUGACGUUAGGCGACAAAAUUCAACUUAUCAAAAAUAAAAAUAAUCCUUGCUCUGAUAGCCAAGCUAAAAAAUUAAAAGAUUUAGGCUACCAAAUUAGGCUUAAAGGUGGGCGAAGAAAAAAUGCCAGUUUACGGGAAAUCAAAGCACGCUUAACAAUGGGGCAAGCUGGGCUAAUUAUCCGCCUAAUGAGUAAAGCAUUAAAUCAAAAUAAGCAAAAUGCGGUAAAUGGAAAAAUAAAACUACCUGCACGCCCAUUUUUAGAUGAAAACACGCAGCACAAUGCUGAAAUAAUGGCUGCCGAAUUAGCUAAAGUUUUGACACUAAAAUAACAACAAUAACAAGAGGUCAAUCACUAUGUACCCUUAUGUACGAAUUAACGCCCUUAAUCAAUUAAGUGGCCCGACAAAAGAAAUUGAACGCCACGCCCUAUUUGUUGGCGUGGGUGAAACUAAUACCAUUCCACUGGUGAUAAACACUAGGGCGAUAACCUUGUUCUAUGAUCUUGCCCUCUUUUAGCCACGGCUGCUGAAAGUGUUGCGUUGUUUCAAUCGCUUUUUCUCCUCGCAGCAUUAAGUCCUUUUCAUCGGGGGCGUUGUCACAAAAUAAAAUGCAUUCCCCUUUUUGAUUAAAUACGUAAAACAUUUAUCCCUCCUUUAUCCCUAUCACUAAGUAAUUGGCUUUUCCAUCUAUCCAUUUCCCAACAUCCAUUCCUCGUCCAGAGCCGUGCCAGACUUGAGCGGUUACCUCUCGUCCGGUUAAAUAGCAUUUUUGAUAAUAAUGUUUUCCAGCCCCCACUUCUUGAAUAUCCCAGCCUGAUAAACUGGGGUCGUCGAAGUUUAAGGAGAUAAAAAAUUUACAUUCAUUUUCAGAAAAACCAGAAGGUAUAGGAAGCGUGCUACCGUGCUGAACUACGCCAGUUAAUAUUUGUACAUCUUUAAUACGGCUAUCACAGCGUCUCCAUUCACCCCAUUCCCCAUUGGCGGUUUGAUUUCGAGUGAAUAUCAAUCCAUAAUCAUAGGUGUUAUAUACCUGUUUAUAACCAUAAGCUGAUGGCAUUACCGAUAGGCUCCCUGCUCUGGCUUCAACGGGAUAGCCUCUGUCACAACGUGCAUUGUCAUUUCUAGGUUGCCCUGCUAUACAAGGGAAUUUCAGUUCGUUAAUGUUCAUCUCACCUAAAUCUGCGAUGAGACUAAAGCUACCAAUUUGAGUAAAAAGCGUUUUUAAAGAGUGACCAUUUCCUAGGUUAAAAUCUUCACCUUUUAGAGUGCCGACAACCUCUAAUCCUUCUUGAGUGAGUGACAUUCCUUUUUUGCUUCUAUCCUCACUUAGGUAGAAGGUGUGUCCCUGUUGGCUGUGGUAGUUUGCCCAUUCUCUUGCUUGAUUGCCUGCAAAUAAUCGCUUCAUUACUAAGGUUUCAUUGAGUACGAGCGUUUUUUUUAUCAUACCGCCUUCCUCAAAAAUGGCAUUUCCAUCCACUCGGCUUAGAUAUUUAUGACGAUGACACGGCAGAUUUAACCUUUGAUAUUGAAUUUCAAGAGCCAAUUACCGCCGUUAUUGAUCCAAAAGGCACGUUAGAAAUUGACGGUCAGCGGUACAAACUUGAUGAAAUUCAUAUAGACCACGCUGAACAUUUUGAUUUAACCACGAAAAAAGAGAGCUAAUUUCUUAUGCACGUUACAGGUGGCUUUACUAAGGAGACACUCAAGCAAUUUAAAAGUCUAGCUAAUUAUUUCCGUUUAUCUCCGAAAAUAAAACAGCAGACAAUGCAACGAGUGUUGUGGCGUUUAAAAGGCAAAACAGAACAAAAUGUUACUAGGCAACAAACACCAGAAGGUAAACCGUGGAAACCACGGAAAAAACCGCGUAAAGGCUUAAAAAAUAAAAUGCUCCGCCGACGCGGGCAAUAUUUAAAUUCAAAAUUAGAGUUUAACGGCAAUCAAGGACGUUUAACUUAUACCGAUAAAAGAUCGGCUCAAGUUGCCGCUAUUCAUCAAUACGGGCUAGAAGUUACCAAUGUUCAGAAUGAGCAAGACAAAAUUCAUCUUGAAAGAUUGCUAAAACAAAAUAAUCAAAAAGCAACACCAAAGCAAGCCAAAAGGCUAAAAGAAUUAGGUUACACCGUAUCGACAGGAAAGAAAUUAAAAAACGGUAAAACAAAACGGAAAAAUGCCAGUAUGAAAGACAUCACAAGUAGGCUUUCUCGUGGUCAAGCUGGUUUAAUUAUCCGAAUGGUUGAAGAAAAGCAAGGGAUAAAAAUUCGCCGCGGUUUACGUUCUUACAAAAUGACUAAGCGAGAAUUUCUUGAUGAAAAUGAACAACGUAAUGCUGAAGUUAUCACAGAAGAGCUUUUUAAAGCCUUUGAAAGAAGCGGAAUACAUUUAACGCUUUAAGCAAUGAAUGACUAAAACAACAAUAACAAGAGGUCAAUCACUAUGUACCCUUAUGUACGAAUUAACGCCCUUAAUCAAUUAAGUGGCCCGACAAAAGAAAUUGAACGCCACGCCCUAUUUGUUGGCGUGGGUGAAACUAAUAGGGUGACUGCGUACCUUUUGUAUAAUGGGUCAGCGACUUAUAUUUUGUAGCGAGGUUAACUGAAUAAGGGAGCCGAAGGGAAACCGAGUCUUAACUGGGCGAAGAGUUGCAAGGUAUAGACCCGAAACCCGGUGAUCUAGCCAUGGGCAGGUUGAAGGUUGGGUAACACUAACUGGAGGACCGAACCGACUAAUGUUGAAAAAUUAGCGGAUGACCUGUGGCUGGGGGUGAAAGGCCAAUCAAACCGGGAGAUAGCUGGUUCUCCCCGAAAUCUAUUUAGGUAGAGCCUUGUGUGAAUACCUUUGGGGGUAGAGCACUGUUUCGGCUAGGGGCCCAUCCCGGGUUACCAAACCGAUGCAAACUCCGAAUACCAAAGAGUAAUGCACAGGAGACACACGGCGGGUGCUAACGUCCGUCGUGGAGAGGGAAACAACCCAGACCGCCAGCUAAGGUCCCAAAAUCUAUAUUAAGUGGGAAACGAAGUGGGAAGGCUUAGACAGCUAGGAUGUUGGCUUAGAAGCAGCCACCAUUUAAAGAAAGCGUAAUAGCUCACUAGUCGAGUCGGCCUGCGCGGAAGAUGUAACGGGGCUAAAAUAUAGUACCGAAGCUGCGGCAUCAAUCGAAAGAUUGUUGGGUAGGGGAGCGUUGUGUAAGCGGAAGAAGGUGGUUCGAGAGGAUUGCUGGACGUAUCACAAGUGCGAAUGCUGACAUAAGUAACGAUAAAACGGGUGAAAAACCCGUUCGCCGGAAGACCAAGGGUUCCUGUCCAACGUUAAUCGGGGCAGGGUGAGUCGGCCCCUAAGGCGAGGCUGAAAAGCGUAGUCGAUGGGAAACGGGUUAAUAUUCCCGUACUUGGUAAAGCUGCGAUGUGGGGACGGAGAAGGUUAGGUUAUCGACCUGUUGGAGAUGGUCGUUUAAGUUGGUAGGUGGGUGAGUUAGGCAAAUCCGGCUCACCGUUAACACUGAGAGAUGAUGACGAGGCACUAAGGUGCUGAAGUAACUGAUACCACACUUCCAGGAAAAGCCACUAAGCUUCAGGCUUUACUAAACCGUACUGAAAACCGACACAGGUGGUCAGGUAGAGAAUACUCAGGCGCUUGAGAGAACUCGGGUGAAGGAACUAGGCAAAAUAGCACCGUAACUUCGGGAGAAGGUGCGCCGGCGUAGAUUGUAGUGACUUGCUCACGCCGCUUUAUGAGUUUCGGGCAAGUGUUAGAACUCAAAGCCGAAGAUCAACCAAACGGCGAAACCAAACUUUAUGCGGUGAUUGCUCCGAAUCAAUAUUUAGUCAAUAUGAAUGCCGAAGGGCAAGGCUUAUUUUC